Molecule: small RNA, 542 nt
Filed under: Pan troglodytes (chimpanzee)
Lineage: Eukaryota; Metazoa; Chordata; Mammalia; Primates; Hominidae
Description: retained intron
Source: RNAcentral
AAUUCGACACCAAAUUUUGGAACUUAAAAAGAAGAUUCUUAAAACUUACAAUCCAGAUUACGAUGAGGACCUGGUGCAGGAAGCUUCAUCUGAAGAUGUCCUGGGCGUUCAUAUGGUGGACAAAGACACAGAGAGAGACAGUACGUAUUCUGGAAUCACCCCUAUGCUGAGGAAAAAUUCUAGUGUUGACAAAGGUGACACUUUCUUGCCUCAUUUUUUCUGGAGAGCCACUCUGGUUUGAACUUCCUGCCAGAAAUGUGGUUCAAGCACUUUUGUCUUGACAAGUGAAGAACCUGGUCAAGAAAUGUGACCGUUGACUCUGGUGCUUGGAAGGAACAGGGUCAUUUGGAUAGAAGAGGGUGUUGUGAAUCAGAGUUGGGAGGUAUGGAGGAAUGAGUCAAUGUGGAAUGAUUGUGAAUGUCUCUGCGAGUUUGUGUGCUUUUCCCCAGAAAAUACAUUCCCAUAUGCAAAGCACAACACAAAGAUUGAUAUUCUAGAAACAAAAUUUGAUCACCACUGCAUUUUUGCAAAAAAUCAACCCA